RNAcentral lists this long non-coding RNA (1029 nucleotides) under Nothobranchius furzeri (turquoise killifish). Its description in RNAcentral is "lncRNA (ENSNFUG00015014555.1)". The record is from RNAcentral. Lineage: Eukaryota; Metazoa; Chordata; Actinopteri; Cyprinodontiformes; Nothobranchiidae.
AUGGACUUGACGCCGACACAGGAAGAGCGACUCAGAGUAGAUCGUGCCAUCUCCAUUUUGGAGACCAGGAUGGCCGUACUCCUGGAUCCACUACGAACUAGCGAACAGGCUCGUCAGGUGACCGGCGCCCAGAUCCAAGCUUUAGCAGCCACGCCGCUCAGGCCUCAAGCCCCUCUUGCCAUGUCACAUCCAGCUGUGGUCCCAGGGGUCGCACUGCAUCUACGUCCAGCGGUGGUCCCAGGGGUCGCACCUCAUCCAGGUCCAGCGGUGGUCCCAGGGGUCGCACCUCAUCCAGGUCCAGCGGUGGUCCAAGGGGUCGCACCGCAUCCACGUCCAGUGGUGGUCCAAGGGGUCGCACCGCAUUCACGUCCAGCGGUGGUCCCAGAAAAUGCACCACAUCCACGUCCAGCGGUGGUCCCGGGGGUCGCACUGCAUCCAUUCCCAGGGGUCGCACUGCAUCCACGUCCAGCGGUGGUCCAAGGGGUUGCACUGCAUCCACUUCCAGCGGUGGUCCCAUGGGUCGCACCGCAUCCACGUCCAGCGGUGGUCCCAGGGAUCGCACUGCAUCCAGGUCCAGCAGUGGUCCCAGGGGUCGAACCGCAUCCACGUCCAGUGGUGGUCCAAGGGGUUGCAACACAUCCACGUCCAGUGGUGGUCCCAGAAGAUGCACUGCAUCCAGGUCCAGCAGUGGUCCCAGGGAUCGAACCGCAUCCACGUCCAGCAGUGGUCCAAGAGGAUCCACCCAUCCAAGAGGCUCUGCCCGAUGCUCCGCCUGUCCAAGAGGCUCCGCCUGUCCAAGUGGCUCCACCAGCGUCCCCAUCUCCUGCAGAGACUUCGCCUCCAGCGUCCUCGCCUCCUGCAGAGACGUUGUCUCCAGCGUCCCCGUCUCCUCCCGAGACUUUGCCUCCAGCGUCCCAUCUCCUCCAGAGACUUUGCCUCCAGUCAAGUCGGCACCACCUCCGGCGCCUCCAGCCAAGUCGGCACCACCUCCGGCGCCUCCUGCCAAGUCGGCGGGCCUGCCUCCAGUGA